Molecule: long non-coding RNA, 1590 nt
Organism: Thamnophis elegans (Western terrestrial garter snake)
Lineage: Eukaryota; Metazoa; Chordata; Lepidosauria; Squamata; Natricidae
Exons: 4
Source: RefSeq, a predicted model, not a curated record
GUAAAACUCAUAGGGUUGAGGCUUUUGUUUUUUGUUUUUUUUGUUUUGGCACUCCUGGGAAGCAAUUCUCUUCCCCCCCACCCCCCAUUAAUUAUCUGAGCAGAUGGCUUAAUUGCCACUAUGGCCUGCAGCCUUCUAAAACAGCUUCAGGAGAACAGCCAGUACAACAGGUGAAAUUAACAGAGUGGAGCACAGUCAUCUAUCCAGCUGAUUCGGAAAAGGAUGACAUUUGCAAAAAAAAAAAAAAAAAAAGAAAAGUUGCUAUGACAACUUCAUCCAUCACAUUUCCUGCUGCAUCAAAUUCAUAAAUGUCUUUGUCUGUGUUGGAACCAGCGCUGAAAACCUUCUGUUGCCAAGAAGAGUUCGGGCAGAAGACACACACCUUGAAUUGCACAUGUUGCUAACGCGCAACAGGUCUGGAGCUUGGGAGUUGUUGGCCUUGUCAUCUGACUUCUGUAGCUGGAGAGAUGUUUGUGACCUAUCAGCCUCCAUUGAAUCCUGGCUUCCUGAUUCUUGAGGCUGACCAUCCUGAACAACAGGCUCAGCUGGCACAAGACUGUCAGAUUCCAGAUUUUGACUCCUGAAAAAGUGUGAGAAAACAGACUGCCAGCCAAAUGCCCAGCACCUGGAUAGCUGGUGCCUUGUGCCUUUAAGGUUUCUUCUUAGCCAGUCCAGCAAGGAAGCAGGACCUAGAGGCAAAGUGUAAGCUUUCAGACAAAUGCUAACAGAGAUUUUUCACCCUCCCCAGGCUGGAAGAAACAGGUUCCUAUCAUGCAUAGAUCUUCUCAUGUAGGAAUGGGGAGGGAAGUUGAAAUGGACUCAAUUGUUGGAAGAGUAGAAAAGGAAGAUGACUAGAAAAUACAUGUUUUCAUUUAGGUUGCUUUAGUUGCUGAAUAAUUGCCUGCCCGAGGAUGGACUGAGAUCGCUAAAGAACUAUAAACAAAGUUGGACCGAAUUUUGAGAGACAGUGUCCACCAACCACUGGUGUCCCAAAGGUCAAGAAAAUUUGGAGAUCAAUCUGUUGCUGCCUAUGAGAAAUUGCCAGCUAAGCUUAUUCAAAACUCUUGAUUAUACAAAGUCAAACUCUCAGAGAAACUGAAGCCUUUUUUCUAUUGCAAUGUUUCAAAUAAAGAGAAAAUUUGAACCAGUGCACAUGAUGACCCUUGUAUGCUGUUAUUUGGAAUGGUUCUGAAAACACUCAUAUACACAUCUUGUGAUAAUCCAAAUAUAAAUAUUAUGAAAUAAUAACUUAAGUGUACAGAAUAUUUAAAAUACUACUACAGUCAGUUUCUGAACAAAAUAAAGAAGCUGAGAGAGUUAUCAGAGUAUUAAAAUAUAUAUAUAUAAAAUAAUGGGGAAUCUUAAUAUUCUAUGCUUAAUUAAUUCUUAGCAAAUGAACUGAGUAACUUUCAUCAGAUUUGCUUAGACUCUUAACUUCCCCAAACAAAUCCCCACUCAGCAAGUAUUGUGCAAUCAGUUUUUCCUGUUCAUUUGCAACAGGAACAGUUUUGUCAUUAUGUCAUCAUGAUUUCAUCAUGAUGUAAAAAAGAUGUGGAGACUCUAGAAAGAGUGCAGAAAAGAGCAACAAAG